Molecule: long non-coding RNA, 371 nt
Filed under: Macaca mulatta (Rhesus monkey)
Lineage: Eukaryota; Metazoa; Chordata; Mammalia; Primates; Cercopithecidae
Description: lncRNA (ENSMMUG00000062958.1)
Source: RNAcentral
CUGCAUCCCGUUGUAGAUUUUUCUGGCUUUGCCUGCCCAGCUGCUCCAAGCCAGGCUGGUGAAGGAGGAGUCUGCUGUGGUGAGCUGGAGGUUGGAGCCUGAAGAUGGCACAGCUCUGCAAUUCAUCUGUGGUUGUGGCGGUGACGGUGAUGGAGACUGCAGCUCAACAGGAGCAGGAGGAGGAUACCCAUGGAGGCCAGGGUUUCCCAGCUGUCUUCAUCCAGGCCUGAACCGGUGUUCACAGUGGUCCUCAUCUAAACCAGCCACGGAGUUCUCUGUCCUUCACAUGACAGCCAGCCCAGAUGUUCACAGCCGUCCUGAUCGGGCCAGCUAGUUUGUUCACAUAUGUGCUAAUUGGUUCCAGCCACCCU